CCCAGACUCCUACGGGAGGCAGCAGUGGGGGAUAUUGCACAAUGGGGGAAACCCUGAUGCAGCGACGCCGCGUGGGUGAAGAAGCGCCUCGGCGCGUAAAGCCCUGUCAGCAGGGAAGAAAAUGACGGUACCUGAAGAAGAAGCCCCGGCUAACUACGUGCCAGCAGCCGCGGUAAUACGUAGGGGGCAAGCGUUAUCCGGAUUUACUGGGUGUAAAGGGGGCGCAGACGGCGAUGCAAGCCAGAUGUGAAAGCCCGGGGCUCAACCCCGGGACUGCAUUUGGAACUGCGUGGCUUGAGUGUCGGAGAGGCAGGCGGAAUUCCUAGUGUAGCGGUGAAAUGCGUAGAUAUUAGGAGGAACACCAGUGGCGAAGGCGGCCUGCUGGGCUUUAACUGACGCUGAGGCUCGAAAGCGUGGGUAGCAAACAGGAUUAGAUACCCGAGUA
RNAcentral lists this ribosomal RNA (445 nucleotides) under uncultured bacterium. RNAcentral describes it as "bacterial SSU rRNA". It matches the Rfam family "Bacterial small subunit ribosomal RNA", at positions 330 to 792 of the family's 1533-position model. The record is from RNAcentral.